Populus euphratica (Euphrates poplar) is the source of this 828-nucleotide long non-coding RNA. RefSeq lists it as uncharacterized. The record is from RefSeq and is a predicted model, not a curated record. The transcript has 3 exons. Lineage: Eukaryota; Viridiplantae; Streptophyta; Magnoliopsida; Malpighiales; Salicaceae.
GGACCACCAAUCAGAAUUGUUGAUGUAGGCAUUAGCAAAGCUGCAUAGUUUUUUUCAAGUUGCUCUUCCUGGUGUGCGGAUUGAUUCUUGCAAUUCCAGCACGACAACCUUUCAUCGUGAAACUCGAAGACAGCGGGGCCACAAUUUGACGUGGCAUCCUUCUAACUGGUUCACGGCCACAUAUAAUAACCAUGUUGGAAGUGAAGAGGACCGACCAAAGUACUCCCACCAAACUGCACAGUGACAACACCAACUCAACAGUCACAGACGUCUGCUGUCCACCGCCGUCGACUAUCUUAAAGAGAAAAAACGGCGAAUGUUUUAUUGAAACGACCCAUCAGUUGAAUUUAGUACCGAGGUGUCAUUUUCAUGGGCAAGGUAUUUCAGCUAUGUAUAUGUGAUUGGGUUGGUUCUAGUGAAAGUGUCUUUGAUCUUCUCUUCCGUUCUUCCUCAGUAAUCUAUAUCUUUUAGCAUGGCUUAUAGGAAACAUAAGAAACCUGCGUCACUUGCAAUUUUUGCAAUAUUCACUGUAAUCUUCAGGCCUCAAGUUCUGAUUAUCUGAUGAUUGUCUUUGAGUGCCUAUGUUAGUCAUCUUCUGCAAUAUUGUCAUCUGAAUACCAUGCUCUCAAAUAACAAAUAGAUUUGAAAAUCUUAUUGCUUGGGCUUCGUCCCCAUCAGUGGAGCUAUGGCUUUCAUUUCGUGUUUGUUCGAAAUUGCAUCGUGAGCCAGCACUAGCUGAACCACACAGUGCAAAGUUUGGACCUUCACCAUUCUUCUUUUAUCAUGGCUCUUACUCCAAGGUUUUGCUUGGGAAUUGGCUGUCUGUUA